GGAACCUGCAAGUUAAUUCUUCUUUUUUUGUGAAUCUAUGGCCUUGAUUAAUGCUUGCUUUUAAUCUUCAAUUCCUGCGAAAAUCGUUUGGCAGAGUGGUUUGGAUUGAAAUUGCGAGCUUGCUAGGUUUAAUCUGGUAAUCGAACGAUUUUUCAGAGUAAUGGAGCAGGAAAGCAAGAACCUCCUCUGAUGGAGGUUUUCAAUUUGUUUUGUAAUAGGGGAUGAUCAAGACUCAUGUUGGAGGGAACUGCUUCCGGGAUCCAUCGAUAAUUGAUCUGAAUUACUUCGACGGUUCUCCGUGCAUGAGAUUGAGCUGUUUUUAUUAAAUACAGCCUUUUUCUGAAUCUAAGAGUCACGGUUUUCUUUUGAGUGAAGCCGCCCCUCGAAUACAGUGGGCAAAUGUUGGGAGACAGAAGAAUUAGUCGCAGAAUUGCCAGUUCUGCUAUAGGACGAUCGAGACUAAUGCUGCAAGGAACCUAUCCGGGAUCCUUGCUGAAUUACUUGGAUGCAUCUUUGCUCAUGAGAUUGAUCUGUUAAUAUUUAGUACAGCCUUUUCUGAAUCCGAGAGUCAUGAUUUUUUCUUUUUAAUCUGAGGAUCAGACUCUCCUUAAAUGUUCCUUGUUAGUUCUAUAGUUCUUCCA
This is a long non-coding RNA of Momordica charantia (bitter melon), 641 nucleotides long. RefSeq lists it as uncharacterized. NCBI's taxonomy places the organism in Eukaryota, Viridiplantae, Streptophyta, Magnoliopsida, Cucurbitales, Cucurbitaceae. The record is from RefSeq and is a predicted model, not a curated record.